This 401-nucleotide unclassified non-coding RNA is filed under the name soil metagenome. Its description in RNAcentral is "partial contains 5.8S ribosomal RNA, internal transcribed spacer 2, and large subunit ribosomal RNA". The stretch from base 1 to 121 matches the Rfam family "5.8S ribosomal RNA", at positions 35 to 154 of the family's 154-position model. The record is from RNAcentral.
GAUGAAGAACGUAGCGAAAUGCGAUAAGUAAUGUGAAUUGCAGAAUUCAGUGAAUCAUCGAAUCUUUGAACGCACCUUGCGCCCUUUGGCUAUUCUGAAGGGCAUGCCUGUUUGAGUAUCAUGAACACCUCAACUCUCAUGGUUUGCCAUGAUGAGCUUGGACUUUGGGGGUCUUGCUGGCCUACGGUCGGCUCCUCUCAAAUGAAUCAGCUUGCCAGUGUUUGGUGGCAUCACGGGUGUGAUAACUAUCUACGCUUGUGGUUUCCCGCCAGGUAACCUUCAGUGAUGGAGGUUCGCUGGGGCUCAUAAAUGUCCCUCCACAGUGAGGACAGCUUUUGAACGUUUGAUCUCAAAUCAGGUAGGACUACCCGCUGAACUUAAGCAUAUCAAUAAGCGGAGGA